RNAcentral lists this ribosomal RNA (253 nucleotides) under uncultured bacterium. RNAcentral's name for it is "partial 16S ribosomal RNA". It matches the Rfam family "Bacterial small subunit ribosomal RNA", at positions 524 to 776 of the family's 1533-position model. The record is from RNAcentral.
UACGAGGGGGGCAAGCGUUGUUCGGAAUUAUUGGGCGUAAAGGGCGCGUAGGCGGUGCGGUAAGUCACCUGUGAAAACUCUGGGCUCAACCCAGAGCCUGCAUCUAAAACUGGAGUGCUAGAGUUCUGGAGGGGGUAGCGGAAUUCCUGGUGUAGCGGUGAAAUGCGUAGAUAUCAGGAGGAACACCGGUGGCGAAGGCGGCUACCUGGACAGAAACUGACGCUGAGGCGCGAAAGCUAGGGGAGCAAACAGG